UAGGGAAUCUUCGGCAAUGGACGAAAGUCUGACCGAGCAACGCCGCGUGAGUGAAGAAGGUUUUCGGAUCGUAAAACUCUGUUGUUAGAGAAGAACAAGGACGUUAGUAACUGAACGUCCCCUGACGGUAUCUAACCAGAAAGCCACGGCUAACUACGUGCCAGCAGCCGCGGUAAUACGUAGGUUGCAAGCGUUGUCCGGAGUUAUUGGGCGUAAAGCGAGCGCAGGCGGUUUCUUAAGUCUGAUGUGAAAGCCCCCGGCUCAACCGGGGAGGGUCAUUGGAAACUGGGAGGCUUGAGUGCAGAAGAGGAGAGUGGGAUUCCAUGUGUAGCGGUGAAAUGCGUAAAUAUAUGGAGGAACACCAGUGGAGAAGGCGGCUCUCUGGUCUGUAACUGACGCUGAGGCUCGAAGGCGUGGGGAGCAAACAGG
RNAcentral lists this ribosomal RNA (429 nucleotides) under Gemmatimonadota bacterium. RNAcentral's name for it is "Gemmatimonadetes bacterium partial 16S ribosomal RNA". It matches the Rfam family "Bacterial small subunit ribosomal RNA", at positions 355 to 776 of the family's 1533-position model. Lineage: Bacteria; Pseudomonadati; Gemmatimonadota. The record is from RNAcentral.